RNAcentral lists this long non-coding RNA (3184 nucleotides) under Homo sapiens (human). RNAcentral describes it as "HSALNT0232503". Lineage: Eukaryota; Metazoa; Chordata; Mammalia; Primates; Hominidae. The record is from RNAcentral.
GUGAUGAUGAAACAAGCUAAUGCUCCUAAGAUAAGACUCUGCAAUAAAAGAAACAGGAUUUGUUUUAAUGCAUGAUUUAAAAAAAUCUACAUUGUCAGAAUGUAAAUCUGAUUAUAUCACAGUACAGUGGCCUGUAUUGUUUUGCACAUACAUUUUUAACAUUUCUUACAUUUUGAAGAAAUGAAAUACAUGAAAAUAAUAAAAAAAGCACACAGUAUAGAAGGAUAAAAUAAUACCAAUUUCUUUCUCUUCCCCCAACCCAACCUUAGUCUCUCUCCUUAAAAGUAACCACUAUUAACAGUUUAUAUUUCAUACUAGAAAGAAGUCUGUAUAUAUACUGGUAAAGUACAUAUACAUUGAUUUUGGUAGAAACAGUGAGGAAGAGCCUCAGUUUUCUUUCUUUCCAAACAGCUGCUGAUUAUCUCAACAUCAUUUAUUGGGAAAUGCCAGUAUUAUCCCUAUUGAUCUGAAAUCCAACCUUUAUUGUAUACUAAAUUCUCAGAUGUAGUUCGGUCUCUUGAGACUGUUCUCUUCCAUUGAAUUGGUGCUUCCUUCUCUAGUACUCUAAGUUAUAGACAAUUCACUCUAUACUGAGUUAUUGUUUCACCUAGUCUUCCUCUUCUUACUCAUUCUCAGACUGUUUAUGUCUCCCAUGUUUGUGUUGGUCAAGUUCCCCAGACUAAGCCUGUUGGCAUUUUAGUUGGGAUUUCUAAAUGAAAUACUUACUUAUAAUUUGGAAAAAUUACAGAAUUUAGUUUUUCUCAAGAACAAAAUAUAUCUUUCCAGUUAUUUUAGUGGUUUUUAAAAAAUAUCUCUCAGGAGAGUUUUAAAGUUUUCUUCCCAUAUGUGUAUCACAUUUCACUUAUUUUUAGAUAUUUGAUCAUUUUUGAUGACUGUUGUAAACAGAAAUAUUUUCUUAUAUUUUAAGUGGUUAUUUGUCUAGGAAAGCUUUUAUUUAUUAACACAAUAACGAGUCACCUGACUAAAUCAUCUUGCUCUAAAUUGUUUCCAGUUGAUUUGUUUUUUUCUAGAUAUGCAAUUACAUUAGCUGAAAGAAAGCAUAUAUUUUACCUCCUUUUUUUUUUUUUUUGAGACAGUCUUGCUCUGUCGCUCAGGCUGGAGUGCAGUGGUGUGAUCUCAGCUCACUGCAACCUCUGCUUCCUGGGUUCGAACAAUUCUCCUGCCGCAGCCUCCCGAGUAGCUGGGACUACAGGCGCGUGUCACUAAGACUGGCUAAUUUUUGAAUUUUUAGUAGAGACGGGGUUUCACCAUAUUGGCCAGGCUGGUCUUGAACUCCUGACUGAGGUUAUCUGCCUACCUUGGCCUCCCAAAGUGCUGGGAUUACAGAUGUGAGUCACUGCGCCUGGCCACCUCUUUUCAAAUAUUAUUUCCCAUUCCUAAUUAUGAUGACUAGUGGUUUCAGAAAAAAUUGACUCAUGGUGUAGGCAUCAUUUUUCCCCUCAUUUAAUAAAUAAUACUUCUGAUAUUUAAUUAAAUAUGCUGACUCUUAGUUUGAAAUGUUUAUUUUUACAAUGUCAAUGGAAUAUUUAUAUACUCCUAUCUUACUGGUCUCCCUUCUUGGCAAUCAGGGACAAAUGUUGAAUUUUGUCACAUGUUCUGUGACAUAAUCUCCUAAUUUUUUAUAAUGUGAUAGAUAUAAUCUCAUUUUCACUUUUACUUCUAAUACAGUGAAUUAUUUUAAUAGAAUCUUAAUAUUGAAUCAUCCUGUUUCUUUCUUGUGGUAUUGUAUUUUCAAAAAAUACUGAUGAAUAUUAUCUGCUAAUAGAUUGACAUUUUGUUCUGAUGCAAGUGAGAUCUCUACUUCGUUUUCUUUUUCUGAACUCAGUCAAGUUUUCCUAUCAGUAUUAUACUGAUUGUGUAAAGAUAGUUCAGAAGUUAUUUCUUCUUUCUCUAUUCUUUGACAAAGUUAGAGUAGUGUCAGAAUUAUAUCCCAUGAAGGCUUGAAAGAGUUAACUUGUAAAAAGGUCUGGGCCUGAUACAUUUUUGAAAGAUACUCAUUUGCUAAAAUUCUCAUUUUCUUCUAUGUUUAUAUUGCCCUGUUUAGAUUUUUCCCUAUUCUGGGAUCAGUUUUGGUGAUUUACAUUAUUCUGGAAAAUCAACCAUUUCAUCCAAUUAUUCACAUCUAUUUUGCAAGGUACUCCUGUAGAUCCUUUCAGUUUUGCUGAUGUUUGUGAUUAUUUUCCCCUUCUGGUUUCUAAUUUUAAAUAUAUGUCUUUUCUUCCCCCUUUUUUUCUUGGUUGGCCAAUGGCUUAUCAAUUUAAUAGGACUUUCAAACGACAGCUCUUGUAUUGACUGAUUCUAUUAUUUUUGUUUCCUAACUUAUAAAUUCCUAUUAUCUUCAUUGCUUCCCUAAUUUCCUUUGUGAGAGGAAACUGAACCAACCCAAAUGUCCAUCAAUGAUAGACUGGAUAAAGAAAAUGUGGCACAUAUACACCAUGGAAUACUAUGCAGCCAUAAAAAAGGAUGAGUUCAUGUCCUUUGCGGGGACAUGGAUGAAGCUGGAAACCAUUAUUCUCAGCAAACUAACGCAAGAACAGAAAACCAAACACUGCAUGUUCUCACUCAUAAGUGAGAGUUGAACAACGAGAACACAUGGACACAGGGAGGGGAACAUCACACACUGGGGCCUGUAGGGAGUGGGGGACUAGGGGAGGGAUAGCAUUAGGAGAAAUACCUAAUGUAGGUGACGAGUUGAUGGGUGCAGCAAACCACCAUGGCGCGUAUAUACCUAUGUAACAAAACUGCACGUUCUACACAUGUACCCCGUAAGUUAAAGUAUAAUAAAAAAAAAAAAAAAAGAAAAAAUAGGGAAAAAAAGAGGCAAGUUUAGUAGGAAAGGUUUAGUGUGUGGGGAGCAGGGGGUGGUGGGGAGGAAAGGUGAGGCAAAACAAAGGUGAGUGGCAAAGUGAAUUAUGGAAGGUUUCUGGAGCUGGCACCCCGUGGGCAUUUCCCCGAGGCCACUGCCGGCCACAUCCGCCCAGCUAGGUCUCACCAGCUCUCCGCUCACCAGUCUCAGGAUCUUCAACAUUCCAGUGGGCGAGAAGGAGAAACGUUUGAGGCUGUCCCUGAAUUUGUACGGGACUUUGGCUCGGCCCUCCACGCGCUCUUUGAUCGCCAUCUCAUUUAAGAGUUUGGAUUCAGUGUGUGCAGAGGGCGUGGGGGG